Rhipicephalus microplus (southern cattle tick) is the source of this 123-nucleotide small nuclear RNA. RefSeq annotates it as U5 spliceosomal RNA. NCBI's taxonomy places the organism in Eukaryota, Metazoa, Arthropoda, Arachnida, Ixodida, Ixodidae. The record is from RefSeq and is a predicted model, not a curated record.
AUCUCAGGUCUCUCCUCAAAUCCACGCGCUAAUCUUUCGCCUUUUACUAAAGAUUACCGUGGGGAGGAACACUCCAAUGAGCCUAUAGGCCAAUUUUCAGGAGGUACAUGUUCUAAAUUAUCU